Molecule: small nuclear RNA, 19 nt
Filed under: Arabidopsis thaliana (thale cress)
Lineage: Eukaryota; Viridiplantae; Streptophyta; Magnoliopsida; Brassicales; Brassicaceae
Description: snRNA_03025
Source: RNAcentral
GGUCCCAGUUCCGAACCCG